Molecule: ribosomal RNA, 253 nt
Filed under: uncultured bacterium
Lineage: Bacteria
Description: partial 16S ribosomal RNA
Rfam family: Bacterial small subunit ribosomal RNA
Source: RNAcentral
UACGAAGGGGGCUAGCGUUGUUCGGAUUUACUGGGCGUAAAGCGCACGUAGGCGGAUCGUUAAGUCGGGGGUGAAAUCCUGGAGCUCAACUCCAGAACUGCCUUCGAUACUGGCGAUCUUGAGUCCGGAAGAGGUGAGUGGAAUUCCGAGUGUAGAGGUGAAAUUCGUAGAUAUUCGGAAGAACACCAGUGGCGAAGGCGGCUCACUGGACUGGUAUUGACGCUGAGGUGCGAAAGCGUGGGGAGCAAAUAGG